CCACGGGGCCGCCUGGAGAGGUGCUGGGAGCUGGGUGGAGCUUAAGAGGAAUUAAACUUUCGCCCUGCGUCUCGUCCAGCCUAGGUUCCACCCUUUUCUGGCAACCUGAGUAUCAACCUAUGCUGGAGUGCGGUGGCACCAUCUCCGCUCACUGCAACCUCUGGCUCCCAGGUUCAAGCGAUUCUCCUGCCUCAGCCCCCUGAGUAGCUGGGAUUACAGGCGCGCGCCACCACUCCCAGUUCACACCCCGCUACUCCUGAGUGCCACACACCGGCUUCCUCCCAGUCCCUCAUCUGAGAACUCAUGAAGCCACCUGGAAUCCCUUUCUGCUUUGCCUGGCUCAUUCCAUCUCAAUUUCAGAUCUUCGCUACAGGUCAGCUCCAAGGAGGAGCUCUCAAAACCUAGCUCUCAAAACCUAGCUCUUUUCCUUCAGAGCACUGGCCUCCAAUU
Molecule: non-coding RNA, 450 nt
Filed under: Pongo abelii (Sumatran orangutan)
Lineage: Eukaryota; Metazoa; Chordata; Mammalia; Primates; Hominidae
Source: RNAcentral